This 442-nucleotide ribosomal RNA is filed under the name uncultured bacterium. RNAcentral describes it as "partial 16S ribosomal RNA". It matches the Rfam family "Bacterial small subunit ribosomal RNA", at positions 338 to 795 of the family's 1533-position model. The record is from RNAcentral.
CCUACGGGAGACAGCAGUAGGGAAUCUUUCACAAUGGGCGAGAGCCUGAUGCAGCCACGCCGCGUGCAGGAUGAAGGCCUUCGGGUUGUAAACUGCCUUUAUAAGCGAGAAAUAUGAAGGUAACUUAUCAAUACGGAACGGCUUACAACGUGCCAGCAGCCGCGGUCAUACGUAGGCUACGAGAAUUAUCCGGAGGGACAGGGUGUAAAGAGUUGCGUAAGUGGCGUAAUAAGUAGCUAGUGAAAUCUGGUGGCUCUACCAUUCAGACUAUUAGCUAAACUGUUAGGCUCGAGACCGUUAGGGGUAACUGGAAUUUCUAGUGUAGGAGUGAAAUGCGUAGAUAUUAGAAGGAACUCCGAUAGCGAAGGCAGGUUACUGGGACGGUUCUGACACUAAGGCACGAAAGCGUAGGGAGCAAACGGGAUUAGAUACCCGUGUAGUC